CAGCAGCCGCGGGAACACGUAGGGUGCAAGCGUUAAUCGGAAUUACUGGGCGUAAAGCGUGCGCAGGCGGUUAUAUAAGACAGAUGUGAAAUCCCCGGGCUCAACCUGGGAACUGCAUUUGUGACUGUAUAGCUAGAGUACGGCAGAGGGGGAUGGAAUUCCGCGUGUAGCAGUGAAAUGCGUAGAUAUGCGGAGGAACACCGAUGGCGAAGGCAAUCCCCUGGGCCUGUACUGACGCUCAUGCACGAAAGCGUGGGGAGCAAGCAGGAUUAGAGACCCCAGUAGUCCCUGUCUCUUAUCC
RNAcentral lists this ribosomal RNA (301 nucleotides) under uncultured bacterium. Its description in RNAcentral is "partial 16S ribosomal RNA". It matches the Rfam family "Bacterial small subunit ribosomal RNA", at positions 509 to 809 of the family's 1533-position model. The record is from RNAcentral.